RNAcentral lists this ribosomal RNA (367 nucleotides) under uncultured bacterium. RNAcentral describes it as "SSU rRNA". It matches the Rfam family "Bacterial small subunit ribosomal RNA", at positions 26 to 371 of the family's 1533-position model. The record is from RNAcentral.
AGAACGAACGCUGGCGGCGUGGAUAAGACAUGCAAGUCGAGCGCUGAUUAAAGGGUAGCAAUAUCUUUUAAUUGGAGCGGCGCAAGGGUGCGUAACACGUGGGUAAUUUGCCAUGAAGUUGGGGAUAACUUGCUGAAAGGCGAGCUAAUACCGAAUGUGGCCCGACGGAGACAUCUCUGUUUGGCUAAAGCUGGGGACCGCAAGGCCUGACGCUUCAUGAUAAACCCGCGGCCUAUCAGCUAGUUGGUGAGGUAACGGCCCACCAAGGCUAAGACGGGUAGCUGGUCUGAGAGGACGACCAGCCACACUGGAACUGAGAGACGGUCCAGACACCUACGGGUGGCAGCAGUCGAGAAUUUUUUCACAA